UCCGGUUUGUCACCGGCAGUCUCGCAUGAGUCCCCAACUAAAUGCUGGCAACAUGCGACGGGGGUUGCGCUCGUUGCGGGACUUAACCCAACAUCUCACGACACGAGCUGACGACAACCAUGCACCACCUGUAUACGACGCCGAAGCACACCGUGUUUCCACGGCUUUUCCGUAUAUUUCAAGCCCUGGUAAGGUUCUUCGCGUUGCUUCGAAUUAAGCCACAUGCUCCGCCGCUUGUGCGGGCCCCCGUCAAUUCCUUUGAGUUUUAAUCUUGCGACCGUACUCCCCAGGCGGGAUGCUUAAAGCGUUAGCGGCGCCACCGAAGAGCAAGCUCCCCGACGGCUAGCAUCCAUCGUUUACGGCGUGGACUAC
Molecule: unclassified non-coding RNA, 372 nt
Filed under: uncultured bacterium
Lineage: Bacteria
Description: contains 16S-23S intergenic spacer region
Source: RNAcentral